GCCGGCGUGGCGAAAUUGGUAGACGCGCGAGUCUCAGACACUCGUGGGCAACCAUGUAGGUUCGAGUCCUACCGCCGGCACCA
Molecule: transfer RNA, 83 nt
Filed under: Rhodanobacteraceae bacterium
Lineage: Bacteria; Pseudomonadati; Pseudomonadota; Gammaproteobacteria; Lysobacterales; Rhodanobacteraceae
Description: tRNA-Leu
Rfam family: tRNA
About the family: Transfer RNA (tRNA) molecules are approximately 80 nucleotides in length.
Source: RNAcentral